GAUGAAGAACGUAGCGAAAUGCGAUAAGUAGUGUGAAUUGCAGAAUUCAGUGAAUCAUCGAAUCUUUGAACGCACAUUGCGCCCUUUGGUAUUCCUUAGGGCAUGCCUGUUCGAGCGUCAUUUGAAACCUCAAGCUCAGCUUGGUGUUGGGUGUCUGUCCCCGCCUCCGCGGGGACUCGCCUCAAAAUCAUUGGCGGCCGGUACGUUGGCUUCGAGCGCAGCAGAAACGCGAACUCGAGGCCCGGCGGAUCGGCGACCAGAAGUCUCUUCUUCACAGUUUGACCUCGGAUCAGGUAGGGAUACCCGCUGAACUUAAGCAUAUCAAAAAGCGGAGGA
This 336-nucleotide unclassified non-coding RNA is filed under the name soil metagenome. RNAcentral's name for it is "partial contains 5.8S ribosomal RNA, internal transcribed spacer 2, and large subunit ribosomal RNA". The stretch from base 1 to 120 matches the Rfam family "5.8S ribosomal RNA", at positions 35 to 154 of the family's 154-position model. The record is from RNAcentral.